Pelobates cultripes (western spadefoot toad) is the source of this 242-nucleotide non-coding RNA. The record is from the annotation of a GenBank genome assembly. Lineage: Eukaryota; Metazoa; Chordata; Amphibia; Anura; Pelobatidae.
CUGUGUUCAGAACCCGUGCCGUGGCGCCCUUGUGUUAUAUCUCUCGGUUCGAGGUUGUCUCCGGGUUGGGGUCAGUCGGGCUAUCUGUAUGUCUUCGUGAGGUUGUGAGUGUGGGGGAUGUGUUCUUGUGCGUGUGCCGCUGGUGGUGUUGGUUUAGUAGUUUGGGGGCGAUGGCUUAUGGCCCGAUGGGUGGGGGACUCGUUUGGCGGGCUUCUAUAGGUAGUGAUAAACACAAAAAGAAU